Herpailurus yagouaroundi (jaguarundi) is the source of this 351-nucleotide long non-coding RNA. RefSeq lists it as uncharacterized. The record is from RefSeq and is a predicted model, not a curated record. The transcript is spliced from 3 exons. Lineage: Eukaryota; Metazoa; Chordata; Mammalia; Carnivora; Felidae.
GGCUAGAGGCUGAGGAGAAUAGGGAGAGGCUGGUUAAAGGGUACAAACUUUCAGUUAUAAGAUGAAUAAGGUCUCAGGAUCUAACAUAUAAGAUGGUGACCAUAGUUGACAAUACUGUAUCCUAUAAUUGAAAUUUGCCAAGAGAGUGGAACUUAAGUGUUCUCACUAAAACAGAACAAAACAACAAACAAACCAAAAAAGAUAAAUAUGUGAGGUGAUGGGUGAGUUAAUUAACUUGAUGGUGGGAAUCCUUUUACAGUAUAUACAUACAGCAAAUCACCAUCUUGUACACUUUAAAUACAUUACAUUUUUAUUUGUCAACUAUAUCUUAGUGAAGCUAAAAAAAAAAAA